GAUGAACGCUGGCGGCGUGCUUAACACAUGCAAGUCGAACGAUGAAGCCCAGCUUGUUGGGUGGAUUAGUGGCGAACGGGUGAGUAACACGUGAGUAACUUGCCCUUAACUCUGGGAUAAGCCUGGGAAACUGGGUCUAAUACCGGAUAGGAGCGUCCACCGCACGGUGGGUGUUGGAAAGAUUUAUCGGUUUUGGAUGGACUCGCGGCCCAUCAGCUUGUUGGUGAGGUAAUGGCUCACCAAGGCGACGACGGGUAGCCGGCCUGAGAGGGUGACCGGCCACACUGGGACUGAGACACGGCCCAGACUCCUACGGGAGGCAGCAGUGGGGAAUAUUGCACAAUGGGCGCAAGCCUGAUGCAGCGACGCCGCGUGAGGGAUGACGGCCUUCGGGUUGUAAACCUCUUUCAGUAGGGAAGAAGCGAAAGUGACGGUACCUGCAGAAGAAGCACCGGCUAACUACGUG
Molecule: ribosomal RNA, 466 nt
Filed under: uncultured bacterium
Lineage: Bacteria
Description: partial 16S ribosomal RNA
Rfam family: Bacterial small subunit ribosomal RNA
Source: RNAcentral